CAUCAAAGGAGGCAGCUGUCCCAGGGGCUCCAGACAGCGUCUCAUCAAGACGCCCUGGAACUCGCCCAGCUUGCUUCAGAUGUUCCAGGCUCAUUUUGGGUGCUUCUGUCUACAGGCCUGGCUGGGCCAUGUCAGCAUUUCUGGGAUGGAUCAAGGACUUCUAGGAAGGUUGAGUUAGAACCACGAGUUCUGUUUCCAGACCAUGAGGAGCCUGUGGGACACAGCAUCAUGCAGCUGAAGGUAAUUGAUUCUGAAUACAUUUGAAAUUUCUUCAGAGGCCU
Molecule: long non-coding RNA, 281 nt
Filed under: Capra hircus (goat)
Lineage: Eukaryota; Metazoa; Chordata; Mammalia; Artiodactyla; Bovidae
Description: lncRNA (ENSCHIG00000004361.1)
Source: RNAcentral